Molecule: ribosomal RNA, 492 nt
Filed under: uncultured bacterium
Lineage: Bacteria
Description: partial 16S ribosomal RNA
Rfam family: Bacterial small subunit ribosomal RNA
Source: RNAcentral
AGUGAACGCUGGCGGUAGGCCUAACACAUGCCAGUCGAACGGCAGCACAGUAAGAGCUUGCUCUUACGGGUGGCGAGUGGCGGACGGGUGAGGAAUACAUCGGAAUCUACUUUUUCGUGGGGAAUAACGUAGGGAAACUUACGCUAAUACCGCAUACGACCUACGGGUGAAAGCAGGGGAUCUUCGGACCUUGCGCGAUUGAAUGAGCCGAUGUCGGAUUAGCUAGUUGGCGGGGUAAAGGCCCACCAAGGCGACGACCCGUAGCUGGUCUGAGAGGAUGAUCAGCCACACUGGAACUGAGACACGGUCCAGACUCCUACGGGAGGCAGCAGUGGGGAAUAUUGGACAAUGGGCGCAAGCCUGAUCCAGCCAUACCGCGUGGGUGAAGAAGGCCUUCGGGUUGUAAAGCCCUUUUGUUGGGAAAGAAAAGCAGCAGGUUAAUACCCCGCUGUUCUGACGGUACCCAAAGAAUAAGCACCGGCUAACUUCGUG